Molecule: long non-coding RNA, 729 nt
Organism: Humulus lupulus (European hop)
Lineage: Eukaryota; Viridiplantae; Streptophyta; Magnoliopsida; Rosales; Cannabaceae
Exons: 2
Source: RefSeq, a predicted model, not a curated record
CUUCUUCUUCUUCUUCUUCUUCUUCUUCUUCUUCUUUGAUUUUCUAGGUGACUCGCAGGAAACCACUUCCUGUCGACUACAUACGCAACACCAACCACCUCUCCCGAUGACGUGUACGAGCUCUGCAGUCUGGAAGCUCUCAUUGACACCUUUAUUGAUGUCGCAUCGAACCCCCAGACUGAUCCCCAGCAUUGUUUCCUUCCACUCAGCCGAGCGCCUGUGCUUACCCAUUGUCGUCGCCUGUGCUUGCCUCUGGGGUCAUCUGUUCUUCUACAUCUUCAGUGGUGUGGGUGAACAAAACGUCAAAAGUAAAAAAUUGAAGAACAUGAAGACGAGAUGUAUAAAACGCCGGCUAGGCAAAGAUCGGCUCUCAGAAAAGCACUUAGAGUAGAGCUUGUGACGGGCUAGGAAAAAUGCCGACGGAGCUCGAACAGGGCUAGGCAAACGAAGAAUGAGAUGGGCAACAUUGAUUUGGGUUUUCCGAACAACGAUGGAGGAUGUUGACGAGCGGGUUUUAAGUUCAAAUUUGCCGGGGUUUUUUUCUUCUCAUUUCUCAGAAAAAAAAAUUAAUCUGGUGAUGUUUGAUUCUUUCUUUAAUCUGCCUGAGAUUGUUCUGUUCUUGGUUUUGCUUUAAAAAAUUGUUUGUAAAUCUGUAAUGAAUUUGAGUUGGAUAUUGUAUGUAAAUUUGGAAUAUAUUUUUUCUUGAAGAAGGUGAACAGUUUAUCAAAA